This is a long non-coding RNA of Sus scrofa (pig), 4202 nucleotides long. RefSeq lists it as uncharacterized. The record is from RefSeq and is a predicted model, not a curated record. Lineage: Eukaryota; Metazoa; Chordata; Mammalia; Artiodactyla; Suidae.
UUUGAAUUUUCUAGGGAGGGGGGGUUAGCAUGAUCAAGAGAGGUUUUCUCAGUGGCUAAUAACAGUGAUACAGAUACCUGUUAAUUCCCAAGCUAAAUGUUGAUUGGAAAGUCUUAUAAAACUCAUCUUUCUAGUUCUUUUUGUUUUGUAGAUUUAAAUGUAAAUAAUAACUCCAAAACAUAAUUUUACCAGUGCCUGUGUUGUUUUGAUGAUGUUACUUGAUCACGAGAGUUGUCUCAAUUCAAAGUUGUCUCAAAAAUUGCUUUAUUUUUUCUAAAAAAUGUAUUAUAUAACAUUACUAUUUGUCUUAAUGACUACGCUAGGUACAAUAGUAAUAGGCUUCCAUGGACUUUAGAUAAAAUGAUUGAAUUAACUUUGAAGCCAAACAAACAAACAGAAAUUUUCUGUUUUCACAACUGGGGAUAUGACAGUUUGACACAACAAUCCUAAAUUGAAAGUUGAAAAACACUUCAGUGGUAGAGCAAUCCCACAAUCCCAAUAUAAGAAAAGCUAAAGUUUUUCACUCCCAGACUUUGUUCCUUUGAAAAUAAAAACAUGACCAGUUAACUAAGAAAACACCAUAAUUAAUGUUUAUGGUGUUCACAUAUUUAUUAAUAUCAUCAAAUGAAAUGCCUGUUCGCUUUAGUUCUAAAGCAGCAACAUAUUAAGAAUUUUACUAAACUCUUCCUAUAAUAAGAAAGCUCAGUUUGUGGGUUUUCCCCUUUAAAAAACGAAACACACAACUUUGAUACCACAAACAUUUUAAAAAGCUAAAUCACCUGCCUGAAUAUGAUCUCUAUAAUGGCAACUCAUUGAUAUCACAAAAAAGUAUUAAUUCAGAUCAACUAUAGGGAAGCGUUUCCCAAGUUUACAGGCAUGCCUUACGGCCAACAAAGACUUCUUCAUUUGUUACUUUUCUUAUGUCUGAGUGUAAAUUAAUAGAUCUUGGUGUGUCACUUUUAUAGUUAUAAAUCAGAUUCAUGCCCAAGUCUGCGGCCCUGGAAUCUGGGUCUUUAAGAAAAAGGACAGUGGACAUAUUGGUGCCUGGAAAGUGUGGGUUUCCUAUGAGUUUGUAGGCCGCCUUGCUGUGGACCUAGAUGUAUAACUGAUUUUCACUUGUCUCUACUCUAACGACCGAAUUAAAAUACUUGUCUAUCUCCAAGUCAUUAUAACAUGGAAAAUGUACACUGUCUACACAUCAUGGGCUAUGAAACAGCAGCCUGAACACAUGACAGUCUCAGUAUGUUUGAAAUGUUGGAGCAAAUGGGGUGGUUGGUUUUGAAUUCAUUUGCACUCAUUUUUACCACUUGAGACACACUCAUUAAAGAGCUGUAUUUCAGCUAUGUUAUAUGCUGCCCAUUUAACUGAGCUGGCUUUUCACAGUACUGCUGCCUCUGGCUUUUUAAUUUGCCUUGAACAGGAGUAUUCUUCCAUGUCAUGAACAAUUCAGGCAGGCUUUAUCAGGUAAAGCCAAGUCAUCAGCUCCUUCCACUCAGCUCCUGGGACCUCCAGGUUGGGACUGCAGAUAAAGAUGGGGACUGCAGAUCCCUAAACCGGAGAGCUGAAUCAAGCUCACUUUCUUCAGGGCAGCUGCUCAAGAGCAAUCUGCUCGCACUUAAACCCUUUAAAGCUACAAACAAACUCUGGGAAAGUUACAUCACCGUAAACAAAAACACAGUUGCUUAAAUUAUUAUUAUGCAACACUGUGUCAUUACUCACACAUCGAUACUGCAAUUAUCUUCCCAAUUUGGCAAAUACCACCAUAGCUUGGUAGGCAGCUUGGGGAGAAGUAAAAGUCUGGGAUAAAUAUGUCAAUGCCAGAUUCACCAAUGCGAAAGGUUUCCUACCCUCUUGAAAGACACUCAGGUUUUAUCAUGCAAACAAAGUGAGAAUCCAAAGCUGUCUCCCAAGUCUUUGGAAUACCACAUUUUAAAUGUCAAUGAUUAGUAAGAUCCAUAUGCUCGGCUAGAGAGAAGAGCAAUACAAUCAGGCACACGUGAAAGUGAAAUUCUGGAUGUGCUUUUUAAAAACUCGCAGGCAUCAAUACACAUUUGGUAACUAAUUUGUUAAUCAGCCUACCCCUUCCCCCGCCAGAGGUGUGUGCACCCACUGGGUUGUGUCUGCCCCAGGUCAUCUCCAGUAAGGAGAAUGCCCCCACCCCACGCCUGCUGCUGUUCACCGCUGCAACGCUGGGUGUUUAAAAAGACAAAUCAAAUGUCCCGGACCCAUUUUUAGCAAAAGGAUUUGGAAACCAGAUGAAAAGGACCAGUUUGUAAAAAGAAGGGGAAAAACUGGUAACUACUUGUCCUAAGAAAAGAGCAAGACUGAGGGCAAAUGACCGACACAAGUGCCUAUGACCAUUUUUCUCCUUGGGCUGUAGCAGAGCUGACAGUAGAAGGUUGGGGGUGAGGGGUGCGGGAGAGAUACAGGGAAGAAAAAGGGUUUCAAGCACCGUCUCCCGGUUCGCAAAGGUCUGGCCUCCUCAGUGCUCAGGAAGAGGUGGUAGCCAUUUUCUUUCUUUUCCUUUUUGUUUAACGUAAAAGGAAAAUAAACCAGAAAAGGUAUAUCUCCCUGCACCAACAGCUCAGCUCCUCUCUCAAAAGGAAAAAAAAAAAAAAAAAAAAAAAAAAAAAAAAAGUAUUUUAACAAUCUCAGGUACAAAACCCAAUCCACAUGCUUCCAAUGAGGCUUCUGGAGUCAACUGGAUUCGAUUUGGUGACCGCACUGAUGGAGACGUGAUCUUGAAAAAUCAAUCCGUGCUCGCGCCCCCACUCCGCCUCCGCCGCCGCCGCCGCCGCAGUGGCCACAAAAUUAGCGGCUCCGAGGACGUUUUUGCCGCAGUGCACGUCCGCAGUAACCGCCGAGCACUCGGGUGAAUAAUGCCAGUACAGUGCGCAGACGAUCGGGCUGAUUUAUCACGUAAAAUAAUUCACUGCUUCAGUCUGGCUCUUGGUCCUGUCACUUUAAAUCACAAACGCGCGUCUACACAGUUCUAUAGGCGCCCACACAUGCAUGGUACACGUGUGUGCGUGUGUGUGUGUGCACGCUGCGCGCAGGGCCAAGUGGAAUGAUUCCAGAUUGCUUCACGUAUAGGAAAGGGAAAAAAAGAGCAAAAGAGCUCGUCACCCCAAACGCUAACCCCACCUUUUGCAGCAUGGACAAGUGGCUUGUAAUGCAGCUUGGAGCAGAAUAAAGUCUGAACAAAACUAGACUGUGAGACUAGCACGUCCCAGAGUGAAAGUGAGUGACGUUAACGCAGACUCGGUAAAGACUCGGAUCACUUGCAGGCAAAACUAAUCCACCCCCCCCUUUUUUUUAAUAAAAGAAAGAAAAGAAAAUCAUUAAUUAGGUUCAGAUCUAAAAUGCUGCUUUGAAAACGCACGCACAUGUUGAAGACUCUGGGACUGUAAUUUCUUGGGUAAACAUCUGGUGAAGACAUUCCAGGAACACAUCUGAAAGGAAGAAAGGCAUCAAGGAAACGGACUUCAAGCAAAAUAAUCAACUUUAUGUAGUUUAUUUUUAAACUCCUCUAUUUUCAGUAGCUCAUUUUCUUCCUUAACUAAGUCACACCGCUUUGUUCGAGUUCACAUCUACCUCUCCCACGUGUCCCCACUAACCGACUCAGUGAUUCGCACCCAGCGAGACCGAAGGAGUGGAAACCGUCCUGAAAGGAGCCCUGCCGGCAUUUGGUCCCAGGGUAAAGCGCUCCAUUUCAGAAGUUCUGAGAAAAGUGUCUUCUUCCGAAACUACCAGUGGAGCAAAUCAUUUACCUAAUUCAUUCAAGAGCCUCCAUAGGAAGGACUUUGGAGCCUGAUGAUCCUCAUAAUUCGGUACUAAUGAAAACCCCUUUGGCCCUUCGCUUUCGGCCCCGCGAGAGACGGCAUCCGCUCCCAGGACGAGAAGAGCGGGCCUGGCUCGCGGCGGCCCCUCCCCAUCUAACCCCAGAUGGCACAACCCGAGAGCACAGCGACGACGGCGGCGACUCCAGACGCCGCCCGUGCCACCGUCCUAUCCGCCACUGUGCCACUCUCGCCCCCUCUCCUCCAGCGCGGGCCCCUCCCGCUUUCCCUUCCUUCUCACCCUCCCCAGGGCUUUUUAUGGGGGUAAGAGGUAAAUUGGGAAUAUUUCCUCUGUCGCGAAACAUUCUCCUUCCUCAGCCAUCUCCCACUCGGGCGGAUUGGAAUUAAAAUCCGGUAAUUCAA